Molecule: ribosomal RNA, 91 nt
Filed under: Weissella confusa
Lineage: Bacteria; Bacillati; Bacillota; Bacilli; Lactobacillales; Lactobacillaceae
Description: partial 16S ribosomal RNA
Rfam family: Bacterial small subunit ribosomal RNA
Source: RNAcentral
UUCAAAUUGAGAGUUUGAUCCUGGCUCAGGAUGAACGCUGGCGGCGUGCCUAAUACAUGCAAGUCGAACGCUUUGUGGUUCAACUGAUUUG